RNAcentral lists this ribosomal RNA (460 nucleotides) under uncultured bacterium. RNAcentral describes it as "partial 16S ribosomal RNA". It matches the Rfam family "Bacterial small subunit ribosomal RNA", at positions 338 to 795 of the family's 1533-position model. The record is from RNAcentral.
CCUACGGGUGGCAGCAGUGAGGAAUAUUGGUCAAUGGCCGUAAGGCUGAACCAGCCAAGUCGCGUGAAGGAUGAAGGACCUAUGGUUUGUAAACUUCUUUUAUAGGGGAAUAAAGGUAUCCACGUGUGGAUAUUUGCAUGUACUCUAUGAAUAAGCAUCGGCUAACUCCGUGCCAGCAGCCGCGGUAAUACGGAGGAUGCGAGCGUUAUCCGGAUUUAUUGGGUUUAAAGGGAGCGUAGGUUGGUUGUUAAGUCAGUGGUGAAAGUUUGUGGCUCAACCAUAAAAUUGCCGUUGAUACUGGCAGUCUUGAGUAUAUUUGAGGUAGGCGGAAUGCGUGGUGUAGCGGUGAAAUGCAUAGAUAUCACGAAGAACUCCGAUUGCGAAGGCAGCUUACUAAGCCAUAACUGACACUGAAGCACGAAAGCGUGGGUAUCAAACAGGAUUAGAUACCCGGGUAGUC